Molecule: ribosomal RNA, 253 nt
Filed under: uncultured bacterium
Lineage: Bacteria
Description: partial 16S ribosomal RNA
Rfam family: Bacterial small subunit ribosomal RNA
Source: RNAcentral
UACAGAGGGGGCAAGCGUUAUUCGGAAUUAUUGGGCGUAAAGGGCGCGUAGGCGGCUUUUCAAGUGGCGGGGGAAAGCCCUCGGCUUAACCGAGGAACUGCCUGCCAGACUGAAUGGCUUGAGACCGGGAGAGGUGAGUGGAAUUCCCAGUGUAGCGGUGAAAUGCGUAGAUAUUGGGAGGAACACCAGUGGCGAAGGCGGCUCACUGGACCGGUACUGACGCUGAGGCGCGAAAGCGUGGGGAGCAAACAGG